UUUAAUUUAAAAGUGCCUUUCGUUUUUCUUGAGUGUAGAUUUAAAAGUUCUCCCUUUUACGAUAAAAAUUGUUGAACAGUCAAACCACCCGCUGAUGUCAAGUCUAUCGAGUGGACUCAAUGACAGCAAAAGUGAUCGAAUUAUUAUUGUAUUGUUUUUAAAUUAUCAUCCGAUCCCGCGUACGAAUUCGAUCCGAAACAUUUUUUAAAAAGUUUGGAUUGCGACGUCUGCAGCGGCAAGGGUUGAUAUUCUGUAAGCCUCCUCGAGAUAAAGAAUCAAGCCAUGACCGUUUCAGCAAAUUGUUUGGUACUGGAGCACUUUCAUGCUGCCCGCUCCCCUUUUUUGUUAUUCAUGGUGAAAUUCACUGCUCACCUACAUCGAACGCUCGUGCAUUUACUAGCAGUGUACUCAGGUAAUUUACUAGCGGUGGCGAAGACUUACAUGCCUCGAAUAAAAUCGGAGCGCCAGGCUGCUUAGGGUGGAAAAUCGCAAGGGAUUGUCUGCAGCGAAUCAAAAUAAAUUGGCGGCGAUAUAGAUAAUCACCGAAGAUGUUCUCCUAGUAUUUCGAAAUUGCCAUGUCUUCCGCAUUCCAGCACCAGGCAGAAACGCAGUAUUGACUCCAGCGCAGAGAUACAACGGCAACAGUUCUUAAUUUAAAAGUUCAUAGUUUUCGUUGAAAACAGCAUGUCUUUUUCCAUAUUUUUGAAUGAAUUAAAUAAAACUUCCAUUUCAAUGUUGAUUUUGA
Long non-coding RNA from Armigeres subalbatus, 745 nucleotides. RefSeq lists it as uncharacterized. The record is from RefSeq and is a predicted model, not a curated record. NCBI's taxonomy places the organism in Eukaryota, Metazoa, Arthropoda, Insecta, Diptera, Culicidae. The transcript is spliced from 3 exons.